This 405-nucleotide ribosomal RNA is filed under the name uncultured bacterium. Its description in RNAcentral is "partial 16S ribosomal RNA". It matches the Rfam family "Bacterial small subunit ribosomal RNA", at positions 30 to 526 of the family's 1533-position model. The record is from RNAcentral.
AUUGAACGCUAGCGGCAGGCCUAACACAUGCAAGUCGAACGAGUGGCGGACGGGUGAGUAAUGUCUGGGAAACUGCCCGAUAGAGGGGGAUAACUACUGGAAAGGGUCGCUAAUACCGCAUACCAUCGGAUCGGCCCAGAUGGGAUUAGCUAGUCGGUGGGGUAAGGGCUCACCUAGGCUACGAUCCCUAGCUGGUCUGAGAGGACGACCCGCCACACUGGAACUGAGACACGGCCCAGACUCCUACGGGAGGCAGCAGUGGGAAGUUUGCGCAAUGGGCGCAAUCCUUGUUCAGCCAUGCCGGGUGUAUGGAUGAGGCCUUCGGGUUGUAAAAUACUUUCUGCGAGGGGGCGUUACGCGCAGAAGAAGCACCGGCUAACUCCGUGCCAGCAGCCGCGGUAAUAC